CCGUUGGUGAACCAGCGGAGGGAUCAUUACCGAGUUAUACAACUCAUCAACCCUGUGAACAUACCUAUAACGUUGCCUCGGCGGGAACAGACGGCCCCGUAACACGGGCCGCCCCCGCCAGAGGACCCCCUAACUCUGUUUCUAUAAUGUUUCUUCUGAGUAAACAAGCAAAUAAAUUAAAACUUUCAACAACGGAUCUCUUGGCUCUGGCAUCGAUGAAGAACGCAGCGAAAUGCGAUAAGUAAUGUGAAUUGCAGAAUUCAGUGAAUCAUCGAAUCUUUGAACGCACAUUGCGCCCGCCAGUAUUCUGGCGGGCAUGCCUGUUCGAGCGUCAUUACAACCCUCAGGCCCCCGGGCCUGGCGUUGGGGAUCGGCGGAAGCCCCCUGCGGGCACAACGCCGUCCCCCAAAUACAGUGGCGGUCCCGCCGCAGCUUCCAUUGCGUAGUAGCUAACACCUCGCAACUGGAGAGCGGCGCGGCCACGCCGUAAAACACCCAACUUCUGAAUGUUGACCUCGAAUCAGGUA
RNAcentral lists this ribosomal RNA (527 nucleotides) under Fusarium solani. RNAcentral's name for it is "eukaryotic LSU rRNA". The stretch from base 181 to 334 matches the Rfam family "5.8S ribosomal RNA". The record is from RNAcentral. Lineage: Eukaryota; Fungi; Ascomycota; Sordariomycetes; Hypocreales; Nectriaceae.